CACACUAUCAUUAACUGAAUCCAUAGGUUAAUGAGGCGAACCGGGGGAACUGAAACAUCUAAGUACCCCGAGGAAAAGAAAUCAACCGAGAUUCCCCCAGUAGCGGCGAGCGAACGGGGAGGAGCCCAGAGCCUGAAUCAGUGUGUGUGUUAGUGGAAGCGUCUGGAAAGGCGCGCGAUACAGGGUGACAGCCCCGUACACAAAAAUGCACAUACUGUGAGCUCGAUGAGUAGGGCGGGACACGUGGUAUCCUGUCUGAAUAUGGGGGGACCAUCCUCCAAGGCUAAAUACUCCUGACUGACCGAUAGUGAACCAGUACCGUGAGGGAAAGGCGAAAAGAACCCCGGCGAGGGGAGUGAAAAAGAACCUGAAACCGUGUACGUACAAGCAGUGGGAGCCUCUUAAUGGGGUGACUGCGUACCUUUUGUAUAAUGGGUCAGCGACUUAUAUUCUGUAGCAAGGUUAACCGAAUAGGGGAGCCGAAGGGAAACCGAGUCUUAACUGGGCGUUAAGUUGCAGGGUAUAGACCCGAAACCCGGUGAUCUAGCCAUGGGCAGGUUGAAGGUUGGGUAACACUAACUGGAGGACCGAACCGACUAAUGUUGAAAAAUUAGCGGAUGACUUGUGGCUGGGGGUGAAAGGCCAAUCAAACCGGGAGAUAGCUGGUUCUCCCCGAAAGCUAUUUAGGUAGCGCCUCGUGAAUUCAUCUCCGGGGGUAGAGCACUGUUUCGGCAAGGGGGUCAUCCCGACUUACCAACCCGAUGCAAACUGCGAAUACCGGAGAAUGUUAUCACGGGAGACACACGGCGGGUGCUAACGUCCGUCGUGAAGAGGGAAACAACCCAGACCGCCAGCUAAGGUCCCAAAGUCAUGGUUAAGUGGGAAACGAUGUGGGAAGGCCCAGACAGCCAGGAUGUUGGCUUAGAAGCAGCCAUCAUUUAAAGAAAGCGUAAUAGCUCACUGGUCGAGUCGGCCUGCGCGGAAGAUGUAACGGGGCUAAACCAUGCACCGAAGCUGCGGCAGCGACGCUUAUGCGUUGUUGGGUAGGGGAGCGUUCUGUAAGCCUGUGAAGGUGGCCUGUGAGGGUUGCUGGAGGUAUCAGAAGUGCGAAUGCUGACAUAAGUAACGAUAAAGCGGGUGAAAAGCCCGCUCGCCGGAAGACCAAGGGUUCCUGUCCAACGUUAAUCGGGGCAGGGUGAGUCGACCCCUAAGGCGAGGCCGAAAGGCGUAGUCGAUGGGAAACAGGUUAAUAUUCCUGUACUUGGUGUUACUGCGAAGGGGGGACGGAGAAGGCUAUGUUGGCCGGGCGACGGUUGUCCCGGUUUAAGCGUGUAGGCUGGUUUUCCAGGCAAAUCCGGAAAAUCAAGGCUGAGGCGUGAUGACGAGGCACUACGGUGCUGAAGCGACAAAUGCCCUGCUUCCAGGAAAAGCCUCUAAGCAUCAGGUAACAUCAAAUCGUACCCCAAACCGACACAGGUGGUCAGGUAGAGAAUACCAAGGCGCUUGAGAGAACUCGGGUGAAGGAACUAGGCAAAAUGGUGCCGUAACUUCGGGAGAAGGCACGCUGAUAUGUAGGUGAAGCGACUUGCUCGUGGAGCUGAAAUCAGUCGAAGAUACCAGCUGGCUGCAACUGUUUAUUAAAAACACAGCACUGUGCAAACACGAAAGUGGACGUAUACGGUGUGACGCCUGCCCGGUGCCGGAAGGUUAAUUGAUGGGGUUAGCGGUAACGCGAAGCUCUUGAUCGAAGCCCCGGUAAACGGCGGCCGUAACUAUAACGGUCCUAAGGUAGCGAAAUUCCUUGUCGGGUAAGUUCCGACCUGCACGAAUGGCGUAAUGAUGGCCAGGCUGUCUCCACCCGAGACUCAGUGAAAUUGAACUCGCUGUGAAGAUGCAGUGUACCCGCGGCAAGACGGAAAGACCCCGUGAACCUUUACUAUAGCUUGACACUGAACAUUGAGCCUUGAUGUGUAGGAUAGGUGGGAGGCUUUGAAGUGUGGACGCCAGUCUGCAUGGAGCCGACCUUGAAAUACCACCCUUUAAUGUUUGAUGUUCUAACGUGGGCCCCUUACCGGGGUUGCGGACAGUGUCUGGUGGGUAGUUUGACUGGGGCGGUCUCCUCCUAAAGAGUAACGGAGGAGCACGAAGGUUGGCUAAUCCUGGUCGGACAUCAGGAGGUUAGUGCAAUGGCAUAAGCCAGCUUGACUGCGAGCGUGACGGCGCGAGCAGGUGCGAAAGCAGGUCAUAGUGAUCCGGUGGUUCUGAAUGGAAGGGCCAUCGCUCAACGGAUAAAAGGUACUCCGGGGAUAACAGGCUGAUACCGCCCAAGAGUUCAUAUCGACGGCGGUGUUUGGCACCUCGAUGUCGGCUCAUCACAUCCUGGGGCUGAAGUAGGUCCCAAGGGUAUGGCUGUUCGCCAUUUAAAGUGGUACGCGAGCUGGGUUUAGAACGUCGUGAGACAGUUCGGUCCCUAUCUGCCGUGGGCGCUGGAGAACUGAGGGGGGCUGCUCCUAGUACGAGAGGACCGGAGUGGACGCAUCACUGGUGUUCGGGUUGUCAUGCCAAUGGCACUGCCCGGUAGCUAAAUGCGGAAGAGAUAAGUGCUGAAAGCAUCUAAGCACGAAACUUGCCCCGAGAUGAGUUCUCCCUGACUCCUUGAGAGUCCUGAAGGAACGUUGAAGACGACGACGUUGAUAGGCCGGGUGUGUAAGCGCAGCGAUGCGUUGAGCUAACCGGUACUAAUGAACCGUGAGGCUUAACCUU
Molecule: ribosomal RNA, 2763 nt
Filed under: Escherichia coli UMEA 3108-1
Lineage: Bacteria; Pseudomonadati; Pseudomonadota; Gammaproteobacteria; Enterobacterales; Enterobacteriaceae
Description: bacterial LSU rRNA
Rfam family: Bacterial large subunit ribosomal RNA
Source: RNAcentral